GCGCGGAUAGUUUAAAGGUAGAAUCUUGCCCUUCCAAGGCAAGGGUCGGGGUUCGAUUCCCCGUCCGCGCA
Molecule: transfer RNA, 71 nt
Organism: Mucor circinelloides
Lineage: Eukaryota; Fungi; Mucoromycota; Mucoromycetes; Mucorales; Mucoraceae
Rfam family: tRNA
About the family: Transfer RNA (tRNA) molecules are approximately 80 nucleotides in length.
Source: Rfam